CUGUUGACAGUUUGAUGCUGUGUUGGUGAAGAGCUUAUCAAUUUCACAGCAGGCGAUUUUGCACUGAAACAGGCUUUGACGUGGCCUCCUCCAGAGAAUACAACCUGCUACGGCCUCACACUGAGCCCCGUCACAGCUGAAGGGACGCAUCAGGCUGCAUCAUGAAUAUCUUGACAGAAGGACUUUGAUUGCUGCAUCCUUCCACAGGUCCCUUGAAGUGUGAGACUUGAAGGAAGAGUGGUUCUUUUGAAGGCAGGUAGAAGGCGUUGCGGGGCUGAGAGGCGCUGGGAAGGGCAUGUCCAAACAGACUUUAGGCCCUGAGUGAUGGGACACGGGAAACGGCUUUUGCAAGUAAAUCCCACGUGAAAGUGGAUACAGUUAAGAUGCAAGGCAUGACUUCAGUUUAAAGAGCUAAGCACUGCCGCUACCAUGAGCCAUGAAUCGACGAAGGCCUCUGCUGUUCUCUCCGGUGUGUGUAGGCUGCCUGGUCGUACAUGUAGAUCACAGCGAUGGCUACCAGCGAGAGCACUGUGUAAAGGAUGACAAGGUAGUAUCCGAGCAUCAUCUCUGUCGACUCGUUCCUCAGGUCUGCUUGAGUAAUUCCCGUCGAGAUCUUUACCAACUUCUCUGCCAUUCUGGUCACUGUCAGGUUCACCGCAAAUAGAAUGAGGACCAAUACAGACAAACAUGCUGCAAGAGAAAGAGAGAAAGAUGAUAUACCUGAUAGGAAUUCCAUAAAAUUGAAAUGUUUCUACACAAAAAUGUUGGCUAAAAUAAAUGUACAAUAACAAAAUGCAUAGAAAAUCUGUAUAUUCUUGUAAGUGUAUAUACGGAUUUGUAUAUUUUUGCAUACUUGUGUAGAAAGGCCUAUACAUACACAUGUUUUUAUCUGGGUGUGUGUGUGUUUUAUGAAUGUUCCCUAUCUCCUAGUUACCUGCUUAUUUGUAUUCAAUGUUUUGUUGGGCAAGUUUCUGUUUUACAGUAAAUAAUGUGUAAUGGCGGAUUUGAGGAAUUACAUUUGUAGCUAUUUGAUCUUUUGUUCUUUUUGUUUGUCUUUUCUGUCUUUCUUUCUUUCUACACUUGUUUGUGUAUGAGGUGUUGGGAAAGUGAGAAAUAAGUCAGAUGGAUAUUAUUGACAAGGCACUGGAUUAUUUUCAUGAUAUUAUCUGUGUAUUUUUAAAAUGAAAACAACAUUUUUAAAUCUCACAGUAAGCAUCAUCACCACCAGUAAAUCAUGAAUCACUUUCCCCAACUUUGCUCAGGGGCCUCAACUCCUUGAUGCUUAUUGCUCUGACUUUGUGUCACUUACCACUGAGCGAGCUGCAGACAUAUAAGCCAAUCGGCCCCAUGUAGGUUUCAUAUGGGUUGCUGACACUGUUGUACAGGGAGAUAAGGAUGCUGCCGGCGGAACACAGCAGACACAGGGCCAACAGGCACACCACCAAACCGUGAAGGACCACAGAGGGAACUUCUCCUGUUUCCACCAAUUUAGGAAUCACUAAAACACAUAAAAUCACAAUAUACAAAGUCAUGAAUUUGGGCUAAUGUAAUUAAGUACACCUUGAAUGCACUGCACUAUAUGACAAACUGCAUGUAAAUCUGACUAGCAGUAAUGUUCAGUAUUUCUAAACCCUAUUACCUUGGUUGGUUAUUGGCUAAUGGUUACACAAGCCAAAAUAUCGUUAUGACAUCAUAAAGUGGCUAAAAUCUGAUCAGAUCAUUUUCAGACAGGUUUUUAUAUAAAUGGAUCAGUACAAAAAGUGAGCGAAUCUUUUUUCUUGAAACUUUCAGAACCUCUUUCCACAGAGGGGACACAUGUAUAACAAACAUGAAAAUGUGGACUUUGCAUAAUAGGUGACCUUUGAGAAUACUUUCGACAGAAAAAAGUGAGGCACUGCUUCAAGAAAGACAUGCUGCUGUGGAACUCUUUCGAUGUAUUGUUAGUGUUGUUAUUGUAGGCAAACAUCUCAGAGACAGUUAAAACAAAGGAAAAUCAAAUCAAAAGUAUAGGAAUGGCUUGAUUCGAGAGAUGUUUAAGGGAUAGAAUAUAUACCUUUAAAUGUCUCUUUGUUUCCGAACAAGGGGCAAUAGUCUCUGUUCAAAUCCCCCACAAAAAGCUUCCAAGUGAUCAGAGCACUCCCAUUGGUGAAGCUAUCUCCACUUCUUGUGCACUCCAUGGUGGUCUGAGCCCACUGUGUUGACAUGCCGUACCCCAACACUAAAACAGAGAGGGAGGUAGCCAGAGCACUGGACAAGAAAAGCAGAGUCUUCGUAGUGGAAGGCAUUAUUGCUGUAUUCCAGUUGGACUAGUUCAAUCUAAAUCCCGGCGUCUCGUCUCUAAAACUCGGAUGAAGCCUGAGAAGCAGAUUAGGACCAUCUGAUCCUCUAAAGACUCUGGGUAUGAGCUACCUUCCUGGGUGGAGUGGACUGCUGGUCAUAAAAUCUCUUGAUUAUGGCAGUGACCUUUGGUUAGCAAAGAAAACACAGAGCUGGUUGUCAUGGAAGGGACAGCAGUUUACUCCCUGCGUCAUCUCUGGUCAUAUGUGUUAUCUGAAUGGUCUGCGAUGAUUGAGAAAUAUUUUCAAAUUAUUUUCUGAAUUGUACUAA
Gymnodraco acuticeps is the source of this 2607-nucleotide long non-coding RNA. RefSeq lists it as uncharacterized. The record is from RefSeq and is a predicted model, not a curated record. The transcript has 4 exons. Lineage: Eukaryota; Metazoa; Chordata; Actinopteri; Perciformes; Bathydraconidae.